RNAcentral lists this ribosomal RNA (306 nucleotides) under Triticum aestivum (bread wheat). Its description in RNAcentral is "partial small subunit ribosomal RNA". The record is from RNAcentral. Lineage: Eukaryota; Viridiplantae; Streptophyta; Magnoliopsida; Poales; Poaceae.
GGAAAAGGCUGUUCGGAGGAGAGUAAAGUAGAGUUGAAGGAUGUGUUGGGAGUUUCUUCAGAAGCACUCAGUGAGAGGUACCUAGGACUACCAACACUGAUUGGGAAAUCCAAAGAAGGCACUUUCAAGUAUGUCACUGAGAGCUCGAAAGGAAAAGUGGGCGAAUGGAAGGGGCAGGGGCUUUCCAAAGCGGCAAGAGAAGUGCUUGUCAAAUCCGGUCUUCAAGCUGUACCUACUUUCACGAUGAGUUGUUUUCACCUCACAAAGAAAACGUGCCAGAACCUGACUUCGAUCUCUUCGAAAUUC